This 524-nucleotide unclassified non-coding RNA is filed under the name Hevea brasiliensis (rubber tree). Lineage: Eukaryota; Viridiplantae; Streptophyta; Magnoliopsida; Malpighiales; Euphorbiaceae. The record is from RNAcentral.
UUGCCUUCUGAAGCACCUUCAAUAAUUCCAGGAAGGUCAAGCAGCUGAAUUUUAGUAUCAUUAUAGUGUAUAAUACCAGGAAUACAGGUAAGUGUUGUGAACUCAUAUGAUGCAGCUUCAGAGUGAGUGCCAGUUAACAAUGUCAAGAGAGUUGACUUCCCAACACUUGGAAAUCCUAUCAGUGCAACACGUCCNNNNNNNNCAUAUUUUGUAACUUCAAAACCAUCUCCACCACCGCUAGAACCCUUAGGAGGCUCCAACAGUUGUGUCCUUAGCUUUGCUAUCUUUGCCUUGAGCUGACCAAGAUGAUACUCUGUAGCUUUAUUUUUCUGGGUUCGAGCCAUCUCGGCUUCGAUUUCUUUAAUCUUCUCGAUUAUCCCCAUUCUCGCUUGAUUUUAGCCGCCACCGUCACACCGGAAGUGAGCGAGGGCGAUCCCAGGAGCUGAGAUGAGAAGAGGAGAGUGGCAGGGACAAUGGAGAUGGAGAUGGAGAUGGAGAUGGCGAUGACUGUUAUUAUUUAACGG